RNAcentral lists this long non-coding RNA (1378 nucleotides) under Homo sapiens (human). RNAcentral's name for it is "HSALNT0243075". The record is from RNAcentral. Lineage: Eukaryota; Metazoa; Chordata; Mammalia; Primates; Hominidae.
GGAGUCUAAGUCACAGAAAUUCUCAAAACUGAUAAGCCAGAGCCUCCUUUCAGCACAAACUCCGCACUGAAGAGGGAGGAUUAAAAUUGAUUCAGAGACGGACUAUCAAGACAAAGAAGAUGGUUUCCUCAAAUAUCUAAAGAUCCCUGGAUAAACAUUCAUGUGUAAGAUGCUGUGAGGAUUGAAAAAAGCAAGGAUGGUUACUCUCAUUACUCCUAUUCAACAACAUACUGGAAUUCUCAGCCAGUUAAUUAAGGAUUUUUGAAAGAUGCUGGACACAAGUCACCAAUGUUCUUGUGCUAGAAGAAGAAUUCGUGUCCUAAAGAGCAAUGGUGGUGUUUCAGGACCAUGGACAGUAGCACAUGGCUACAGACACCUAAAAAAGCUCCCAACGCUCACCUCACCCUGCAAGUUCCUCCAGAAGGGCCCGUCAAGGCUGGCAGUGGACACCUUGCAGGUUAAAUCCAUGGUCUUCCUCCAAGUCGGGCUUAGAAAACUCCUCCCCACAAAAUAUCACAUAGUAGGCACUGAAUAAAUUUUUGUUCAAUUAAUUAACAAAUUUAUUACAGCAAAGGGUUGCACUUAUGUGCUCAAUUCACCCAACAAAUAUUUAUUUAAGCCCCUAUUGUGUGACAUGCAUGAACCUUUCAGACAGGAUGUUUUGUGACUGAGGUCCCUGUUUCAUGGUGUGUAGCUGGUGUCUUAUGAGUAUGACAGUAGGCGCUACAUAGGGCUGCUUCCUGCCUGCAUCUCUGGUAGAAAGUAAAGUCUAAUACAAUUUUUCCUGUUUUCUUCUGUUAAAAUUCUGGACCACUUGUUUGUCCAUCAACACUUCUUCUUCUCUUCUGAUUUCUGUCACUCUCCCUAGAGUCUAAGACAUCAGAGAAUGCAAAUAAGGUCUUUCUCCCUCGUCUUCAUUCCCAGCCCUACAGCACCAUCUCAGAUUUUGUACUGUGCAACCAAAUCUUUCCCCACUCCUACUCCCAUUUCCAUCACUCUCCCUAGAGCCUAAGACAUCAGAGAAUGCAAAUAAGGUCUUUCUUCCCCUGUCUUCAUUCCCAGCCCUACGGCACCUAACGUUUCAGAUUUUGUACUGUGCAACCAAAUCUUUUCCCACUCCUACUCCCACUCCCAUCCCUAUUCCUUAAACAAGUACAAAUGUCUUAAAGGAAAAACACCUGCUUUUUGUCAUUGUCUCUUCUGAAGUACCUAGCAUAGAGCCUGGCUUGUAGUUGUGUGUCAGUAAAUAAAUGACUCAAUCAAUAAGAAUAAAAGCCCCAUGAGGAUGGGGACUUUUGACUGUUUUAUAAUAUGUUAGACAUUCGAUAAAUAUAUGUUCAAUUAACUGAUUAAUAAAUUAACAUAUUUAUCUGUGAUA